GGAAGGAUCAUUAUUGGUAUUGGGUCUAAAUGGCCCGACCUCCAACCCUUUGUUUACCUAUCCUUGUUUGCUUCGGCGAGUUCCUCUGAGGACUGGCGAGGGUUAAUCCCUCGACUCGUCGAUAGCCCCCCAAUAUCAACUCCUACAAACAAUGAUUGUCUGAGUCCCAAAACAAUGCAAAAACUUUCAACAACGGAUCUCUUGGUUCUGGCAUCGAUGAAGAACGCAGCGAAAUGCGAUAAGUAAUGCGAAUUGCAGAAUUCAGUGAGUCAUCGAAUCUUUGAACGCAUAUUGCGCCCUUUGGUAUUCCGAAGGGCAUGCCUGUUCGAGCGUCAUUACAACCUCUCAAGUAUGGCUUGUAGUUGGACUCAUGUCAGUGACUGGCUGGCUUGGUCUCAAAGAUAGCGACGGCGUCCACGAGGCUCCUGGUACGAUGAGCUUUUGAAAAGCAUGUAUCGUGGAAAUUCGGGAAGCUUGUCACUGCACUUCAUUUUCAGAAGUUGACCUCGAAUCAGGUAGGAAUACCCGCUGAACUUAAGCAUAUCAAUAAGCGGAGGAAAAGAAACCAACAGGGAUUGCCCCAGUAACGGCGAGUGAAGCGGCAAUAGCUCAAAUUUGAAAUCGGCCCUUGGUCGAGUUGUAAUUUGUAGAGGAUAUUUCUGGGGACAGCUGCGGUUUAAGUUUCUUGGAACAGAUUGUCAGAGAGGGUGAGAACCCCGUCUGGAGCCGUUGGCUGAAACCAUAUGAAAGUCCUUCGACGAGUCGAGUUGUUUGGGAAUGCAGCUCAAAAUGGGUGGUAAAUUUCAUCUAAAGCUAAAUAUUGGCCAGAGACCGAUAGCGCACAAGUAGAGUGAUCGAAAGAUGAAAAGUACUUUGAAAAGAGAGUUAAACAGUAUGUGAAAUUGUUGAAAGGGAA
RNAcentral lists this unclassified non-coding RNA (916 nucleotides) under uncultured Eurotiomycetes. RNAcentral's name for it is "sequence contains 18S rRNA gene, ITS1, 5.8S rRNA gene, ITS2, 28S rRNA gene". The stretch from base 502 to 916 matches the Rfam family "Eukaryotic large subunit ribosomal RNA", at positions 1 to 418 of the family's 3401-position model. The record is from RNAcentral. Lineage: Eukaryota; Fungi; Ascomycota; Eurotiomycetes.